CAGGGACACCGAGGCAGCAUGUUCCUGGGAGAUGCAGGGCUUCUUCUCAAUCCAGAAACGCAGUCUUAAACCAGUCAAUGAGGAGUCACCUGAUCAGCACUAGCUCCUCAUGAUCAGGAUGAGACCCGCUGGGACACCCCACUUGCUCCAGUGCGCCUGCAGACAACAUCUUGGGAAAACUGGUAGAAAUCUUGAAAGAUGGAUUCCUACUGUGCCUUCCCAGCAGCUUUCUUCUGCUUCAUUUCCCAAACAAUUCUGCAGAAUUGUACAUGCCAGUUCCUCCAGACUCAACUGCAUGGU
This is a long non-coding RNA of Manis pentadactyla (Chinese pangolin), 300 nucleotides long. RefSeq lists it as uncharacterized. The record is from RefSeq and is a predicted model, not a curated record. Lineage: Eukaryota; Metazoa; Chordata; Mammalia; Pholidota; Manidae. The transcript is spliced from 5 exons.